AUCAACGACAAGGCCUACACGGAAUACAAGCACCGGAUGCCCCUGAAGGAGGUCCAGGCCGUGGUCAUCCUAGGGGAUUUCCAUCUAACCGCAAUCAACAGCCUGAGUCUGCCUUCUUACAGUCCGCCAGAGUCCAAGACCUAAGUCAGCAAGGAAAGAAAAUCUGCUGAAACAGGAUGUGUUCCUCUUCCGACUUACAUCCAAAUUCUGCUUAAGAACAAAUCUGCAUAAGCUAUCUUGUUCGUAACUUGGGGGACUGCCUGUAUAUGUGUUUUUCAACUAUGUUGUGCCCCCUGGCUAAUCAAAAAAAAUGUAUCAUUAUUAUUAUGUACUAGCUAUCCCCUGCCAGGCGUUGCUGUGGCCCAGUCUGGUGAUCUGGAAAAUAAAGUAAUGAGAAAGUG
Non-coding RNA from Anolis sagrei ordinatus, 401 nucleotides. The record is from RefSeq and is a predicted model, not a curated record. NCBI's taxonomy places the organism in Eukaryota, Metazoa, Chordata, Lepidosauria, Squamata, Anolidae.